This is a non-coding RNA of Punica granatum (pomegranate), 1309 nucleotides long. NCBI's taxonomy places the organism in Eukaryota, Viridiplantae, Streptophyta, Magnoliopsida, Myrtales, Lythraceae. The record is from RefSeq and is a predicted model, not a curated record.
CUCUUCCUCUUCCUCUUCCUCUUCCUCUACCCGACGAAGAAGCAUAGUCUGGUCUGCAACUGAGAGACGACGAUACGAUCAUGGCGGGAGCGGGAGAGCGCGAUGGAGAAGAAGAAGAAGAGGAGAUAGUUUGCUUAGAGGCCUCCUUCUUCAUCAACGAUAACUACGAGCUGAAGAAAUUUACAUUCGGCUCACAUUCCUUCGAGCUCUAUUGCCUGCAAUCUGCUUCGAGUACUUCGGUUAUUGGGAAAUGCAUUGCUUCAACCUUUCGGCCCUCUUGCUUUCGCAGACUUUGCCAUCUUUGCAUCCGAAAAGCUGACUUCGAUCUAACGGGUCAGUUGGUGUGGCCGGGGGCUAUGCUGUUAAAUGAAUACCUUUCGAAGAAUGUUGACCUUCUCAAGGGGUGUUCUGUUAUUGAACUAGGCUCUGGGGUUGGUAUAACUGGAAUACUCUGUAGUAGAUUCUGCCGUGAAGUCGUGCUCACUGAUCACAAUGAUGAAGUCCAGAAGAUUCUGAAGAAAAAUAUAGAGCUGCAUUCUUCUAAGGAUCAUAGUCAUCAUGCUGAACUAGUGGCUGAGAAGCUGGAAUGGGGAAACUCUGAUCAGAUUAAUCAAAUUCUUAGAAGACGUCCGGGAGGAUUCGAUCUUAUUCUCGGAGCAGAUAUAUAUAUCCUUGUUCUCGGAAAUGCUAUAAUGUGCAUAUUUACUAGCUUGAGAAGCACCAUCAAGGGGUAGUGUUCCCUUACUUUUUGACACAGUGAAGCAGCUGCUCCAAGUACGGGAAAGAGAUUGCUGCAAAUUCAUACUGGCCUACGUUUCUCGAGCUAAGAUCAUGGACUCACUAGUAGUCAGCGAAGCUAUUAGGCAUGGAAUGCAGAUUAAUGAGAUACCGGGGACCCGAUCUGUAGUUGGCAAUCUGGAAGGUGUAAUCUUUGAAGUUACUCUCUUAGAGAAAUCCCCAAUGUAGUUUUGGAGAUGUGCUACACUACAUGGAAAAUUUAUUUAUUCUCCAUGGAGGCAUCAGGCUAAAAUCAGGUCUCCAACAUAUUGAGCUUACAGAGUAGGCUUGGAAUUUUACGAAGAUGAAGAUAUGAGGCAAAAGCUAAGCGUAUGAUGUGUCUCCAUAUUUAGUCUACGACUUACUAUAGUUUUUCUUGUGUCUCCCGGCGAAUUGUUUUAUGUUUGAUUAUUAGACAAUAGUCCUUAUUGUUUGUAGUAUCGCCCCAAAAGAACGGCAUGGCAGGGAAAUUUCUGUAAGGUUGAAGUGUUGAAAUUUUUGGCUGCAACAUUUGGAAGCGUUCUCUUGACAA